CAAAACAUGGGUCUCUUUUUUACACAUCUCCUUACUUCAAUCUCCCUCCCCUGCACGCGAGCAAGCAAUUUCUCAGGAAAACCUCUGGUUAAUUUCUCUAUCCUCCCCAAUCUUCGAUAAUCUUCGACAAGAAAAAAAUAUAUGGAGCUUCAGCAAAAAAAACCCUAAAAACGGCAGACUAUUGUGCACAUGUUGGUGCAGAUUUGCGAUUGAAAGAAGCAAUUUAUCGAGAAAUUGAAGUACCAAUAGAAACUCUAUAUCGGUCACCUUCUUUCCACGCUCUUAAUCCAAGGAAUUCCUUGCCAUUCUCAAAUUUAUUUCAAAUAUCACUGCUGUCUCACAGCCGCAUUUAGUUGGUAUAAAGGAAUCUACACAGCCAAGCCCAGACAGGAAUACACUGGAGGCUGGUACAGUUGGCAAUAUAGCUCAAGCAAGGCCUUCUGUUACGGAGGAAAGUGCUGUACAGUGGGCUAAAAAUGAUAAGAGAAGAUUACUUCAUGCUGUUUAUAGCGUUAGAGAUUUAGAUAAGACUAUAAAAUUCUAUACGGAGUGCCUUGGCAUGAAGGUAUUGCGGAAAAGAGACAUCCCAGAGGAGAGAUUUUCAAAUGCCUUUCUUGGUUUUGGACCCGAAGAGUCACAUUUUACGGUUGAACUUUCAUACAGUCAGCUCUCUGGCUUUAAAUCCAUCUUUUUUCAAUGAACAUAUAGACCUAUCAUUUUGUUGACUUCCCUUUGCUACCAUAUACUUGCUCAUUUUUGUUCUGUGCAUAGUGAAUCUUAAAUAACAAGGUGUUGCAAUUAAAACAAUGGUUACAGACUAUGGAGUUGACAAAUAUGAUAUUGGAACUGGUUUUGGUCACUUAAUAGCAGAAGGUAUUACUAAAAUUUUCAUAUCCUUAGUGAUGUAGCCAAACUUAUUACUUCAAACUAUAUUGCUUUAAAUACAUACUAUUUCCUUUGUGGUUGUUAAUCCAUUCCUCCACCCCCACAAAGGACACUAACUCACUUUCGAUGGUAAAAUAAGCAUCUGAUUUCUUUUAUUGUAUAGUUACAAUACAUUUUUCAUACUUGAACUUACCUGUGAAGAAUUUAAGUUGGUGUCUGAAUCUGGAGAUCCUCUUGUGUGUUUUACUUCCACUUUAAGUAACUCAGUCAUAAAUGGGUAAAAGUCCAAGUAUCAGACUCGACUAUGUUAUGAAAAAGUCCAUUGUUUUUGUUUGAAAUGAAGUAUCAAGAAUCCAUGCCAUAUAUAGUGUUAAGGAUCCAACACACCAGUACUUUAGGUGGAAAUGAAGAAUUCGAGUAACUUAGCCUUCACAUUAAUGCUAAAAGAAACAGAGUAUUUGAUUUUUAUCCAAACAUUUGUGACUGCAAUUUAUGAUUAUUUGUAGCCGAUCUGUUUGUCCUGGAUUGUGUGGUUAUUUACAGUUUUCCAAUGUCUUGGUUCUAAUUUUUUUUCCUCUGAUUAACACAGUCCCACAAACAUAGUAUACCCAUCUUAUUGCAUUUCAUGCUCACUUCUACAUGGAGCCAGAGACCUCAGAUAGUGGUUCGAUGACAAUUGGGGCUGCUGGUGGUCGUGGAGGUAUCGCUUCAGUAGGCGGGAGAAGUACAAGAUCUCCUACUUCUAAUUAAAUUGUGCGACCUCUUCCUGGCCUGAAAGAGAAAGUUAAGAAUGUCAUGUUUUAAGAACGUUAAGAACGUUACUAUUGGGCCUCGGAGCCUCAGAGUUUGGCUACUGAAUGUUUUAUGAAGAAACUUAUUCAUCAGAAAACGAGGAUGAGGUUAGAGACAUGUGGGUCGAGUAUUUGCUCAAGCAUGAAGCAGAUGAAGAAAACCAAGUUGAUGGUAUGAAAAUAACUCCACGAGUUUUGGUUCCAAUUGUUGGUAAAAUUGGCAUGAAUGAUUAUAUUUUGGAAUUGAUUUUUGUUUUACGUUUUUGGAAAUUGCGAUGUAAAUCUUUGACGUUUAUGCAAAUUACAAUUUAUGUAAAGCUUGCGUUUUGAGCAUUACUUGUGGGAAAUAUUUUUUUGGUAAUAUAUGGAUUAUGGAAUUGUUCUCGAAUUAU
Molecule: long non-coding RNA, 2068 nt
Organism: Spinacia oleracea (spinach)
Lineage: Eukaryota; Viridiplantae; Streptophyta; Magnoliopsida; Caryophyllales; Amaranthaceae
Exons: 4
Source: RefSeq, a predicted model, not a curated record